AUACAUUUUGUUGAUUUAAUAAAGCACUAGCUCGUGCAAUUUACCAAACAUGCAAAAGCCUUUAUUCGAUUAGGUAGGUAUUCAUGUUCCUAUUCAGUUAGUUUUAGCUUGAUGAUUAGGAAUUCUCAAGACCCCGAUGAAUGAUUUUCCAUGGAGUUCACGAGACAGAUAUCCCUUAAAAUAGUCUGAAACACUCAUUCUUUUAAAUACCGGUGGAGUUUCAGGGGUAAUAAGGCUGGCUGCAGCACGCAACUCUCCAUCCAAUUUUGGGUUGUGGAAUGUGGCUAUGGAAAGCCUCUCUUUAGUCGAGCUAAUUGUUGCCCUAUGCUCAAUGCUACGGUAAAUUCCAUUGGUCACAAUCUCCAGCAUGUCUCCAAUGUUGAUGAUAAAUGCAUUGGGAAUUGGCUUGACCGGAAUCCACAUCCCAUCUUUCUUUAUCUGAAGCCCUUCCACAUCGUUGAGCUGGAGGAGGAUGGUGAGGCCAGUUGCAUCAGAAUGGGGCUUCAGGCCGAUAACAAGGUCUGGUUCUGGACAUGGGGGAUAGUAGUUCAUUCUCAUCGCCUGCCACCCUUCUUCAGCUAAAUCUUUCAAUUCAUCAGGCUCAAUUCCUAGAGUUUUUGCCACCAGGUUAAAGAUUUUCUUGGCAAUACUUUGCAGUUCUUCCGAGUAUGCUUCAAGGGCAUCCCUGAAUGAGGGAGGGAAAUUGGAGAAUAAGUGAGGUUUUCGCAAAUGAGUUGGAAGAGUAACCACGUAGAAGAGGUCUGCCCAUUCAAGCUUCUGCUCUUCAGACGUGACAAAGUGCUGUCCAAAUCCUUCUAUUUCUCCUGGUUUUUGCCAAAAUUUCAUCUUCUCUUCCAUUGGAAGAUUGAAGAAUUCUUCAGUCUGCAACUUCACUUUCUCCAAUAUCUCAG
This 911-nucleotide unclassified non-coding RNA is filed under the name Hevea brasiliensis (rubber tree). Lineage: Eukaryota; Viridiplantae; Streptophyta; Magnoliopsida; Malpighiales; Euphorbiaceae. The record is from RNAcentral.